UUUUUUUUUUUUUUUCGGUUGCACCUGCAGUAUGCAGAAGUUCCUAGGCAGGGAUUGAACCUAUGAACCUGUGCCACUGCAGUGACCAUGCCAUAUCCUUAACUCACUGAGCCCCAUGGGAACUUCUGUUUGACCUUUCUAAGGCUCAGUGUUCUUACAUAUAAAAUGAGAUAAUAAAAGCAUGAACCUGAUAGUAAAAAACAAAUAAAAUGAGAGAAGUAUGACAUCAAAAGACGCUUAAAGCUCAUUCCUAUUUAUAUCCAGACCUGUAGCUCUCGUAUAUAAAUUGUCUCCCUUUUUAUUAUGCGUCAUAAAGUGUGGUAAAUACUACAAAUAUUAUCUCAUUUCAUCCUCAUAAUAUUUGUUACAAGGAGGUACUGUUAUUCUACUUUCUAAUCCUUUUGUUUCUGUAAUAUUGAUAGUAAUAUCCCCUCUUUUCUGAUUUUACUUGUUUGAAGUCUUCUCUCUCCUUAAUCAAUCUAAACAUUUGUAAAUUAUUUAUUUAUUUAUUUUAUUUCCCCAAUACAUUAUUUUUUUUUCUACUGUACAGCAACUUGACCCAGUUACACAUACGUGUAUACAUUCUAUUUUCUCACAUCAUCAUACUCCAUCAUAAGUGACUAGACAUAGUUCCCAGUGCUACACAGCAGGAUCUCAUUGCUAAAUUUUGUUGAACUUUUUCAAGAAGCAACUCUUGGUUUUGUUGAUUUUCUCUAUUGCUUUUUCUAGUCCAUUUUUUAAAAUCAUAUUUUUCUGCUUUAAAGAGGAGGAAACUGAUGCCUAAUUUUUAAGAUGUUACAGAUCUGAGUCAAGAUUCAAACUAAGACUGUCAGGUUCCAAAGCUUAAUCUCAUCGGCUGUUUUGAAAAGAAGGCACCAAAUCUGGGUUCACACCAACGUUUAACUCACAGAAAAUUCAUUUUGUAAUUUUGCUAUGGCACAUCACAUUACUUGAUAUGCUAUGGCUUAAAUUUUAUUCCCUAGUAGUCACACUUAAGUACCCUCCUAUUUCUUUUCUUUUUAAAUACUUCAAGCGUGAAGUUGAGUACAGACAUAAUUAUAACUAAAAACUAUGUACUACCACCCAGCUUGGUCAGAUAUUAUAAUUUCAUCAAAUUUGCUUCAGAUCUUUUUUUUUAAAAAAAUAAAUCAUUACAGAAAUAAGCAUAUGAAUUCCUUCCUAAUUCCAAAAAUACGACUCUUCUUUUAAAUUUCCAUGCAUGUUUUUCUGCUUCUAAUACAUGUUUGCAACCAUAAACAAUAUGUAGAACUGUUUUGCCUAAUUUGAAACUUGGUUUAAAUGGUAUCUCACUGUCAGCAUCCAUCUGAGGUCUGCUUAUAUCGUUGAAUAUGUUUUAAAGAUUUUGCCACUUGGAUGGAAUUAGUGUAAAUUCUUUUAACAUUUAGAUAGUGUUUUAUCAUAUGUUUAUAUUCUGACUUAACCACUCAUAUUGAUGGACAUUAGGGUUGUUUCCAAGUUGUAAGAAUACAAAUAAUGCUGCAAUAAGUACAUAUAUAUAUAUUUUUUUGGCUGCACCAGUGACACAUGGAAGUUCCCAAGCCAGGGAUCAAAUCUGACCUUCAGCUGCAACCUACACCACAGCUGUAGCAAUGCCAGAUCCUUAAUCCACUGCACCAGGCAGGAUUGAACCCACACCUCCACAGUGACUAGACCUGCUGCAGUAGGAUCCUUAAUCCACCCUGCCACAGUGGGAACUCCUGCAAUGACUAUUGUUAUACUGCCAGGCCACAUAUUGUGAGAUUUCUCUAUUAAGCUGCAAGGCCAAGGAGUAUACUCAUCCUCAAAGUUAUGAGAUAUAACAAAAUGCCCUACAAAGUGGCAGCAGUAACUCACAUUAAACCAGCAUUAGUUCAUAUCAUUCCACACAUCUGGUAUUGCCAGGCUUUAAAAUGUUUUUACUCUGUUGGAGAUAAAAUAUUUCAUACUUUAACAUGCAUUUCCCUACCUAUGAGUGAGAUUAAACAUUCUUUUAUUUUUUAUUUUAUAUUUUUAUAUUAGUUCUUUUUCACUUCUGCUUUUUAUAUGCCUAUUUUUCUACUAAGUUGUUAAAGGAGGGAGACAAGACAUACUAAACAAAUAAGAAAGCAAAAUACCUAGGAUGUCAAAUGGUCAUAUACACUAUGGGAAGACCAGAAGCAGAGAAGGGGUGAGAAUUCAAUCUUAAAUAGAAUAAUUAGGGAAGAACUUAGCAGGAAGGCGACAUUUAGCAAAGUCCUAAAAUCAGUGCAGGCAGAAGCUAUAACGGGAAAAUUAUAACGUGAUCAGACAUGAAGUGGUACAUAGGGAUUUGUUAUGAUUAUAAGCUAUGAAAAUUUCUUUGCUUUGAACACAACUCUUUUCAGUUAUAUAUGUUGCAACUAUUUUUCCUAGUCCAAAGCUAACCUUCUUAUUUUGUUUACAGUGACACAUAAAACUUUUAAAAACUUAAUGCAAUAAAAUAUAUUAGUACUUUCCUUUAAGGUAGGUGUUUUUUGUUUGUUUUAUUCAAUAAAUCCUUUCCUAUCCCUGAGUCAUAAAGAUAUUCUCCUAUAGUUAUUUUUAAAGUUUUUAAAGAUAAGCCUUUUGCAUUUAAUGCACUUGGGACUGGUAUUAUUUAUAUGAUUUCGUGUUAGGAUUCAACAAAGUUUCUGUAUAGGUAUUAUGCAUCGUCCUUGUACCAUUUUAAUCUUAGUCUAUGCUGUCUGCAUUGAUUUGUAAUGAUAUACCUAUCAUACUUUAUGUGUAAAAUCAGCAUAGUUUAUUUUGGGGCUCUAGAUUUCAUUCCAUUUUUCUACUUUCUAUUUCUGUGCAAAUUAAUACUCACACUGCCCUAAUUACCACAACUAUAAUCUUACAUUUUCACAACUGGUAAGACCUAUCCAUCUAUGGCUCCUACAUCUGCCCUCCUUCCUUCCAUUCCUCCAUCUCAUCCAUCCAUCCAUCCCUUAUUAUUAUUCAUAAAUAUUUCUUUUGAGCCUAACUUUGCCAAACACUGGUUUGGCCCCUAGGGAUUUAAUAACAAAGUAAACAGAUAUCUCUACCCUCAUGGAGCUUACAUUCCAGGCAAUGGAGACAGACACUAAAAUAAACGAUAAAUAAGUAUGCCAGAUGGUGAUGAUGGCCAUGGAGACACAGGAAGCAGGGACGAGGAUCUAGCACAUGAUAACACCUGAUAUAAUACAAACACCCCAAAAUCUAAUGGGAUAAACAUGAACUUCUUUUCAAUACACACUAGACAUUUAGAGAUUGCAAUAAAAACUCAAGAUGCUCACGCUCGAAGUCUCGCAACAGUUUACAACUUUUGGUGAUUUAUUUCUAUCCCUAAGGGAUGGUAUAUGAAAAUGCAACCUGUCCUUGCCAGGCUGUGAGUACACAGGGAAGUUUAUUCUAGUCACCUGGGAGAAGAGAUCAGAGCACAUAUGCAUUCUGUCUGGUCCUUUACUUUGGCCUGACUUAAGACACUAGUCUUGGACCAGAAUGAGACUGCAGUUUGUCAGCUGGACAGCAUGGAAGCCUGGAAAAGUUUCUGGUUCUAGAGAGCUGGGAAUAAGCCCAGAGUUCAUAAACACAACUCCUUCACAAAAUACUAAUAUUUUACAAGCUGUCUGGAAGUGUUAUACACUUAAAAUUGAAUAAGCACUACUUUUGCUACCUCCCUCAACUUCUAGGGUAAAAAAGCCAAUGGAUCAUUGCUUUUAAAAGUUUAUUUAUAUGUUUUAGCCCAGUUGUCAAAUCUUUGGCAGUGAUCAUCAUUACCCUGUGUGAAGUUCAGUAUAUUUUAUUUUUAACCCACAAUGGGCUCUGCGUAACUCUAGGCAAGUUAUUUCACCCUUCUAAACGUCAGUUUCCUCACUUCAAGGCAGGGUAACAAUACCUAAUUGCAGACUUGUCGUGACUAUUAAGUACUAUUUUGAAAGACCUUAGGACAGUGACAGUAUGGGGUAGUCAUGGAAAAAAUGGCAGUCCCUAUCAUUAGAACUGUUAUACAAAUAAUCACAGAUAUUUGCCAAAGAUUUCUGAGACAUGGCCAUGUUCUGGUAUCUCUCUGGGUCUAGGACCUCAGCCUCUCUGGAACUGUUCCUGUCUGAGCAUAUAGAAGGUAAAUAUAUGAAUGGGGACCACAGGACCCAGUUCCAGCCCCAAGACUUUAUUAUCACCAACAUGUGAGGGGUGCCUGUGUCCCACUGAGAGCCACAACACUGUAAAUAGCAUCAAUUUGUUAGGGUUACCUCAUCUGCAUAUCCCCCAAACUUUACACCCUGCUGGAUGGGCACUGUAGAGCUGGCAUGUACACCAAUUACAUCCAGGAGUAAUACAUUAGGAUUGCUAAUUUGCAUACAACCAAUCAUAGAAAAGGUAACGCCCCCAGAGGAAUCAGGAAACCUCUAGGGGAGCCUAUCACGGUAAAGGAGUUCUCACUACAGAGUGUGAGGAUUCUUUACUGCAGCGGCUCCCUCACCCUCCUCUCUCCUAAUUUUCCAACCAGGCUCUGGCUAGAGGUCUGGAACUUGUUCUGACAAGAACUGUAGAUCCAAUCCACAGUGACAAUUUGCCCGCAGUGAGGACAGUGGGCAUACCCACAGGGUGACUAGUGUGCCAGCAGAAGAACCAUCUAAAGGUUUGAGUAAUGUGAACUUUAACCUCUAUUCCAAGUGAAUACAUGUGUCUGUGCGUGCGUGCUUGUGUGUUAGUAAGUAUGCAUGAGAAGGAAGGUUUAGUUGAGAGAAGCUAAAUACUUUUAUGUUGGAUACUUCUUUGCUAUAUUGAGUAAUUCUAUAAUAAAUAUUAGUCAUUAAAAAGAGAUAUCUCUGGUUUUAUUACAUCACAGACAGCAGAUGAAUAUAGUAUAGUUCACAGGUCUUGGACCUCCAGAGGCUUUGAGAGUCUGAUUCACCUAUUCAUCCAUCCGUCUAUCUCCCCCUCCAUUCUUAUACUUGAUAUGUGUUUAUCAGACUCUGUUAUAGUCCAGACACAGUUCUAGGUCCUGGUGAUACUGUGGUGCUCAUAGUCAAAUGGGGGUAAACAGGUAAGUGACGAUGACAGACUAGGAUUAACUCUAAGACAGAGAUAAGCACUAUCUGUUAAAAGAGCACAGAUGGGGUCUGGCUUAGAGGGAAGUCCAUGAACUUUACUUUAAAGCCAGUUUCAAAAACAAAACAAAACAAAAUGUUGGCACUGUUGCCUUGUCUGUUCCAGUUACUCUGGGUCAUCUAGUGUCUCCCCUACUCUUGCUUCUGCAUCCUGCAAUGUUCUCCUAUUUGUUGUCUUUAUGUCAAUUUCCCCAUCCUGCUCCUUGCUUUGUUCUUGGACUUGGUGGACUAUGGGUCUUCUCUGUUGUGACUUUCAAAACCUCUAUCUACAUAGUUUUCCCUCAUUCUAUGGAAAUUCUCAUUCUGAGAAUUUCAGAUAACGAACUGGCCCAGUUAAGUUCUCUGGGAGACCAAAGCCCACCCUUCUAAGCCCAGUAAAGCUGACUGUCCUCUGAGUGAGUUUUUGGGAGACUCCAGGCUCAAAGUCCCUUUGCCCUAUAGCCUGCCAUCUCCAGAUGCCCCCUGGAGGCACAAGUAGCCAGUAUAGGGCUGCCUACCAUGUGUGUCUCAUGGCUAAAAUUAAGGGCAGCAGGGCAGAAAGUGGAUCUGCUGACACCACAGUUAGACAAGCUUGCACUGAGGCUAUAAAACACCCUUGGCGGAGCACACCAGUAAAUUGUCCCACUAAUUAGUUUAUUAUUUCAUUUGGGAGAUCAAAUACAUAAAUAAAAUUAAUAAACCCU
RNAcentral lists this long non-coding RNA (5773 nucleotides) under Sus scrofa (pig). Its description in RNAcentral is "lncRNA (ENSSSCG00045031492.1)". The record is from RNAcentral. Lineage: Eukaryota; Metazoa; Chordata; Mammalia; Artiodactyla; Suidae.